UUAAUAAAUAUUGUGGUCAUUGAUUGGGCGUUUAUCCGUUGAUUUAAGUACAUUAAUGGUCUUUGGGGCACAAAAUGUAACUUUUAUUUGGCUAAAAAAAAGUUACAUUUUGGUGACUGGUUAUCAGAAAAAAACCAUUUUGCAAAAGUGGUACAAAACAGUUCAGGCUCAGAACCUGAAGUUCUCGCAUAUUACAAUUAUUUUAUGAAGUCACAAAAAACCAGUGUAUCCUAACUUGCAGGAAAACGAUUCAUAAUUGAAAAUACUAUCACGUGGCCUUUACCCCAACAUAUUACAAAUAGUUGCCACCAUUUUUUUUUUAAUUUUCCAAUUUUUUUUCUCAAGUGCAUCAGAUCUUUUGCCAAUCAUUCAACUGGCGACAGUCUGCGAACAAAAAUCUCGAAAAAUGAGGAUAAAUGUGUUUCAUUUUUCACUUUCUCUAGUGACACUUUUCUGACUGGUGGUAUGAACAUGCCAAGACGGAAUUACCAAUCUGAUUUUCAAUUAUGGUCAACAGUUUUUGGAGAAUUUUUGUAAUUUUCUGAUAUCGUCGUCUACGUUCAAUUGAUGAUUCAAAAUGGCAGAAUUCAAUGAAUACAAAAAAAUUACGCGCACCGGCACUUUUCAGCAUCUCGAGUUAAUUGAAUAUUUCAGUAAUGCUCAGGUAGAUGUUCAAACAAAAUUUUAAAAACAGAAACUUAUUUUCUGGGCCAAAAAAUCUAUAAAAAAUUAUUUUUAAAAUGACUAUCUAAUUGAAAUUUCAAAUUGAUUUGUAUUUUUAGGCUUAAACAAAACACUAAUCUUGAGCCUAAUAUGGAUAAAAAGGGCCCUCGAAAUGUUCAAAAAGAUUAACAUUUUUGGGCAGAUAUUCUACACAAGUUCUUACCCGAUACAUAGAUUUUCACAAAUUGUCAUAGAUCACCACUUGCACUACAAAACCCCACCAUAUUAUUGUAAUCUGAAUGGUUAUUCUUAAGUGCGAUCGGUUUUCUCACCUUCCCGCUGAGCUGCACUUUUUACGUAUUUGCACUAACAUUUGUACAGUCAUCAGUUUUGUGUAAGACACCACACCUGCACAGUUCUCAGAGACACCACUUUGUGUCAUAGUUUUUCUUUUGUUUCACGUCAUGCACAUUAACCUGUCCGAAAAAAUGAAAAAAUCGAUACAUUGUACAUUGAAAAAUUCGUUUUGCACACGGUUCAAAAAGGCAACAAUGGUGACGGUUUGCUUGGACAUAACAAUUUAUUGAUUCUCUUUGUGAGUAUUGACUCACAAAUGUUUAUUGUUGAAUGUAUAUGGAAUUGUGACUGAUAACGGUUCGGCUUCCUUUUGAUUUUUAUAUUUGAAUAAACGAUUUUUCCCU
Caenorhabditis elegans is the source of this 1364-nucleotide long non-coding RNA. Ensembl annotates it as ncRNA. Its record names the gene linc-150. Lineage: Eukaryota; Metazoa; Nematoda; Chromadorea; Rhabditida; Rhabditidae. The record is from Ensembl.